Molecule: long non-coding RNA, 336 nt
Organism: Hordeum vulgare subsp. vulgare (domesticated barley)
Lineage: Eukaryota; Viridiplantae; Streptophyta; Magnoliopsida; Poales; Poaceae
Exons: 3
Source: RefSeq, a predicted model, not a curated record
GUGGGUUUUGGCCACGAGCUGCGCCCACUUCGAGGCUUCCAGCCUCGCGGCGUACGGGACGGCCGCUAAGGCCGUGAUCACCAAAUUUUGGGAAUUCUAUAGAGUUCUUGACGAGCACAAGGCCAUAGCCGACGGGGUCUUGCUGGCGGCUGCGAAGAAUAAAGCUCGUUAGUUCCUGUACGAGGUGCGUUGGGUUGCCGUCUCGCACUACUAUCACACCUACCUUAAUCAAAAGAUGAGCAAAAAUGAAGCGCAGAAGCAACGACUUACCUUGAACAGGGAGCAGUACAUGAUGGUUAUUCCUAAAUGGUGCUUGGGAAAGGGUGAUGGAUGGGC